This 497-nucleotide ribosomal RNA is filed under the name uncultured bacterium. RNAcentral describes it as "partial 16S ribosomal RNA". It matches the Rfam family "Bacterial small subunit ribosomal RNA", at positions 28 to 507 of the family's 1533-position model. The record is from RNAcentral.
GAUGAACGCUGGCGGCGUGCCUAAUACAUGCAAGUCGAGCGAACAGACGAGGAGCUUGCUCCUCUGACGUUAGCGGCGGACGGGUGAGUAACACGUGGAUAACCUACCUAUAAGACUGGGGUAACUUCGGGGAACCGGAGCUAAUACCGGAUCACAUGUUGUACCGCAUGGUUUAACAGUGAAAGACGGUCUUGCUGUCACUUAUAGAUGGAUCCGCGCCGCAUUAGCUAGUUGGUAAGGUAACGGCUUACCAAGGCAACGAUGCGUAGCCGACCUGAGAGGGUGAUCGGCCACACUGGAACUGAGACACGGUCCAGACUCCUACGGGAGGCAGCAGUAGGGAAUAUUCCGCAAUGGGCGAAAGCCUGACGGAGCAACGCCGCGUGAGUGAAGAAGGUCUUCGGAUCGUAAAGCUCUGUUAUUAGGGAAGAACAACUGUGGAAGUAUCUAUGCACGUCUUGACGGUACCUAAUCAGAAAGCAACGGCUAACUACGUG